Molecule: ribosomal RNA, 1480 nt
Filed under: metagenome
Description: bacterial SSU rRNA
Rfam family: Bacterial small subunit ribosomal RNA
Source: RNAcentral
AGAGUUUGAUCCUGGCUCAGAACGAACGCUGGCGGCAUGGAUUAGGCAUGCAAGUCGAACGAUGAGAUGGAAGCUUGCUUCCGUCGAUUAGUGGCGAAAGGGUGAGUAACGCGUGAGUAAUCUGCCCCUAAGUUGGGAAUAGCCUCGGGAAACCGGGAUUAAUACCGAAUGUGGUCUCCCGUCGCAUGACGGAAAAACUAAAGAUUUAUCGCUUAGGGAUGAGCUCGCGUCCCAUUAGCUUGUUGGUAAGGUAACGGCUUACCAAGGCAACGAUGGGUAGCUGGUCUGAGAGGACGACCAGCCACACUGGGACUGAGACACUGCCCAGACUCCUACGGGAGGCUGCAGUCGAGAAUCUUCCGCAAUGGGCGAAAGCCUGACGGAGCAAUGCCGCGUGCAGGAUGAAGGCCUUUGGGUUGUAAACUGCUGUCACCAGGGAAGAAAUCAAUGACGGUACCUGGAGAGGAAGCGCCGGCUAACUACGUGCCAGCAGCCGCGGUAAUACGUAGGGCGCAAGCGUUGUUCGGAUUUAUUGGGCGUAAAGGGUCCGCAGGGGGUCUGCCAAGUCUGAUGUGAAAUCCCGUGGCUCAACCACGGAACUGCAUUGGAAACUAGUAGACUAGAGUAUUGGAGAGGUAAGUGGAAUUCCUGGUGGAGCGGUGGAAUGCGUAGAUAUCAGGAAGAACACCGAGAGCGAAGGCAGCUUACUGGACAAUUACUGACCCUCAGGGACGAAAGCGUGGGUAGCAAACAGGAUUAGAUACCCUGGUAGUCCACGCCGUAAACGUUGUGAACUAGAUGUGGGAGGAUUUAGCCCCUUCCGUGUCCAAGCUAACGCGAUAAGUUCACCGCCUGGGGACUACGGCCGCAAGGCUAAAACUCAAAGGAAUUGACGGGGACCCGCACAAGCGGUGGAGCAUGUGGCUUAAUUCGAGGCAACGCGAAGAACCUUACCUGGGUUUGACAUGUUUCCGACAGCCGUAGAGAUACGGUCUUCCUUCGGGACGGAUUCACAGGUGCUGCAUGGCUGUCGUCAGCUCGUGUCGUGAGAUGUUCGGUUAAGUCCGGCAACGAGCGCAACCCAUGUCGUUAGUUGCAAGCAGUUCGGCUGCGCACUCUAGCGAGACUGCCCGUGUCAAGCGGGAGGAAGGCGUGGAUGACGUCAAGUCCGUAUGGCCCUUAUAUCCAGGGCUGCACACGUGCUACAAUGGCCGGAACAAUGGGACGCAAUGCCGCGAGGCGGAGCAAAUCCUCAACACCGGCCCCAGUUCGGAUUGGAGUCUGCAACUCGACUCCAUGAAGUUGGAAUCGCUAGUAAAGGCGUAUCAGCUACGACGCCUUGAAUACGUUCCCGGGUCUUGUACACACCGCCCGUCACAUCAUGGAAGCUGAUUGCACCCGAAGUCGCCCGCCCAACUCUUCACUGAGAGGGAAGCGCCGAAGGUGUGGUUAGUAACUGGGAUGAAGUCGGAACAAGGUA